Molecule: long non-coding RNA, 2468 nt
Filed under: Sus scrofa (pig)
Lineage: Eukaryota; Metazoa; Chordata; Mammalia; Artiodactyla; Suidae
Description: lncRNA (ENSSSCG00015030185.1)
Source: RNAcentral
CUUUUUAGGGCUGCACCCACAGUAUAUGGAGUUCCCAGGCUAGGGGGCUAUAGCUGCCAGCCUAUACCACGGCCACAGCAACACGGGAUCUGAGCCACAUCUGCAGCCUACACCACAGCUCACGGCAAUGCCGGAUCCUUAACCCACUGAGCAAGGCCAGGGAUGGAACCUUCAUCCUCAUGGAUGCUAGUCAGAUUCAUUUCCACUGAGCCAUCAUGGGAACUCCUACCUGUUAUCUUACAUUUCAUAAUGACUAUCCAUUUAAAAGAUGAGAAAUCUGAGGUCAGCGAGGUUAACCUGCCUGAGGGUCCUCAUUUAUUUGAUAAAUGGAAUGAACACACAUUGUCCCACUCCAUAUCCAAAUUCUUUCUAUUAAGCCACACUACCUAAUAUUUAAGGUACAGAUGAUUGAGCACAUUACAUUGUAAAGGGGAGAAGUUCAGGAUCUUGCUGGGGGUGGCAGGGAGGAAACAUUCAUAAAUAAGUGCACUAAACAGAAACAUAUUACAUCUCAGGCUGCUAUAACAAAACACUAUAGACUGGGUGGCUUAAGCAACUGUGAAAUUUAUAUCUCACAGGCUUGGAGGCCACAAGUCCAAGAUCAGAGUGCUAGCUAGCAUGGGGGGCUUCUGGUGAGAACUCUCUUCCUGGCCUGCAGAUAGCCACCUUCUUACUGCGUCCUCACAUGGUAACAGAGGGGUAGAUCAAGUUCUCUGGUGUCUAUUUUAUAAGGGCAUUACCCCCAUCUAGAUCUGAUUCCUCUUUAAAGGCCCUAUCUCCAAAUCCAGUCACACCGGGGCUAGGGCUUCCACUUACCAAUUUGGGGGCUAAACAAACAUUAUGGACAUUUGUCCAUAACACAAAUGUCAAUCCAGUCUCAGUGAGCACAUCUAGUGGCCAGAUGAUGGUUUCAAAGUAACACUUUCCACUGAAAAGACCCAGAGCUCCUUGGGAAAUUGGUGGAUUCCAUACGUGGCUGGGGCAUGGAAAGUAGAAGGGGAACCUGGAACAUCUCAUGCCAUAAAGGAAUGAAGUGCUCAGAUUAGGGAGGGACCAAUUCAAAAGGAGGCAGGAACCAGCAUUUAGAGGCUCCCGCUGGCCAAAUCUGGGAUAAUCUGAGCAUCGAAAUAAUGAUAAAGAGUAAACCUACUGGAUAAAAAGUCCAUCCGUUCACAAUGAGGUAAACAAACAAGGAAUAAAUAAGAAGAGAAGGCCUGGAGUUCCUGUAGCAGCUCAGUGGGUUGAGAACCCAACUAGCAUCCAUGAGGCGGCAGGUUCGAUCCCUGGCCUCAUGCAGGGGUUAAGGAUCCGGCGUUGCUGUGAGUUAUGGUGUAGGUUGUAGACUCAUCUCGGAUCUGGCGUUGCUGUGGCUGUGGCUGUGGCUGGCAGCUAUAGCUUUGAUUUGACCCCUAGCCUGGGAACUUUCAGAUGAGGCCCUAAAAAGCAAAUAAAUAAAUAUAUUUUAAAAAAGCUCAUCUUUAUGGUAGACUGCCAACUAAUAAAUGUAUAAAGAAUGGUGAAAUUAGAAAAUUAUAAUUUGGCAACCAUUAUAAAUAUGGAGUCAGGCAAAAAUCACCAAUGGUGAACAGGUAAAAACUAAUGGGUGAAAAUUUAAAGGUAACAGGAUAUUUCCAUAGUCUCAAAGUAUCUCUCAAAAAAAUACUUAUUAACUACAAAGGGUAAAAGAGUAAACUUUAUAUUGAAGAGGUUUAAAUAGUCUCAAAAUGUGUAUAUAUUUUGUACACUUAUAUAUACACUGUGUGUUGUAUGGUGUGUGAAGGAGAGAAAUAAAUGAGCAAACCAAAUGUAGGAAAAUGCUAACACUUGGGGAAUCUGGGUGAAGAUACAUGAGUAUUCUUUGUACUAUUCUUGCAACUUUUCUCUAAGUCUGAAAUCAUGUCAAAAAUUAAAAAUUGCAAAUUAAAAAAAUUGUCACAAAUAUAACAGCUUUUCCUUCCAUUUUUCCAGUCAUCUCCAUUUCCUCUCUUUCCAAGACCCAGGCAUUCUCAAGGAAGGGUGAAGAAUGUGGCAGCAGUGGUGCAAAUUGAGGCUUGGUGCUAAAGCACUAACAGCCAGGCAAGAAACUAUCAGGUCUCACCACCCUGUGGGCACCUGGGAAAUUCUGAGGGCAGGAUGUAUCAUCAUGGCUGCCUUCCUCAUGCCAAAUCCAGUCCCCUCCCUGGUAGUCUAGUGAUUAGGAUUCAGUGCUCUCUCAAACCUAGUCCUUGGCUUUCUGAGGCCUGAGGAGCCCCUGGCUUCUGUGUCAAGUGUGACACACAUUCUCAUGCUGACUGCAACUCUUAUUAUCUGAGAGGACUUUACAACCAUUUCCUUGCACCAUGCUUUCUGCAGUCCAGAGGUGUGGGCUGAGUGGGGCCUUAUCCCAUUUUGCAGAUGGGAGAAACUGGGAUUCGGCCACGUGCCCAAGGUCAUCCUCAGUAAGAUUAAGACCCAGGUCCUCAGACUUG